Molecule: ribosomal RNA, 597 nt
Filed under: Triticum aestivum (bread wheat)
Lineage: Eukaryota; Viridiplantae; Streptophyta; Magnoliopsida; Poales; Poaceae
Description: partial small subunit ribosomal RNA
Source: RNAcentral
AUGGCCCCAUCCGAAGUAGUGAGACAGUUGAUGCGGUCCGGAGGGCGGAGGGUACUGGAGCAGACGCCGAACCUCGAGGUUCUGUCGCUCAACAUGGGAAGACAAAAGGAUGAAGAGGAAGAGAAAGAGGAAGAGGAAGUGGAAGAGGAAGAGGAAGAGGAUGAUGAUGAUCAGGAACUGUACCAUCAGUCCUUGGAUGAUGAUGAUGAUGAUGAUGAUGAUGAUGAUGAUGAGGAGGAGGAGGAGGAGGAGGCCAUGUACCCGGGGCGGUUCAACAGAAGAGGCGUAGAUGAUGAUCAGGAGUGGUACCAUCAGUCCUUGGAUGGUCUUGUGGAGCUCAGAGUUCCCAGCCGGUCGAGUUUUUCCUUGCGGUGCUUGCGCCAUCGAGUGAAGGAGAUCAACAUGGUUAACUAUCGGUGUGAUGUGCAGCAUAGGGUGCUGGCCAGCCUGCUGUUCCGCAAUGCGCUUGUGCUUGAAAGGAAGCGUGUCAUGUUUGUGAAGAAGGUGCCGUCCGAGUUGCAGGCUGAGCUCAUGAAGGAGAUCGAGAGCUGGGUACGUAGUGGCCAAACCAGAAAAGAGAUUCAUGUGAUGAGUUAG